CUCAUCAAGAGCGGUGGAGGGAAUGGCCCAGUGAAGCCGCAGCAACCAUUGCAGAUUAACCUCUGUAAAACGGUGCUAAGUCCUGCAGCACUCAGCUGCAAGAUGAGA
Molecule: non-coding RNA, 108 nt
Filed under: uncultured Phascolarctobacterium sp.
Lineage: Bacteria; Bacillati; Bacillota; Negativicutes; Acidaminococcales; Acidaminococcaceae
Description: SAM riboswitch (S box leader)
Rfam family: SAM riboswitch aptamer (S box leader)
About the family: The SAM riboswitch is found upstream of a number of genes which code for proteins involved in methionine or cysteine biosynthesis in Gram-positive bacteria. The SAM riboswitch acts at the level of transcription termination control. The predicted structure consists of a complex stem-loop region followed by a single stem loop terminator region.
Source: RNAcentral